GAUCACAUAAACUGUACAAAAGCCAGGUGCAAUUUUGGACACAGAGCUUGGAACGUCCAUCGUCUUGAAUCUUCUGAGUCUAAGUGUUGUAAGUAGCCAGAUAUGGAAUAAUGCAAUAUUUGUGAAUACUACAGCUUAUUGGGAACAAUAAAAAGUACCUGCUAACGAAACCAUUCCUUGAUGCAGCUCCCAUCACCAGAUUCUCUGUGAUAUUGGCUGCAACAUAGUCACUUAUGGCGUUUGCUAUGUCUAUGCCUUCAAUUACAACUUCAUUGACGUGGAUCUAUGACAAAGGGAGAAACACUGAUUCAGAAAAUGGAAGUACGUUUGCAAGAACGCGAUGAAGAAUGAGUAAGAAAUAGCAGACACUUACAUUCUUGCGGUUGCAGAAGCAACGAAAGGGUAAGAACAAUUCCUUUGCUUGACUAUCAGGAUCACUUCUAUACACUCUGGGAGUUCCGUCAUUAACAUCUGAAAAAUAAACGUUGUUCCAGGUACAUAAAAAAUGCUUUGAACGUAUCCAUAUUUUCUUUUCUUUGGAGGUAGUGGGUAGAAUGGAAUGCACGGUUGAAGCCUGUGACGGAUGUAGGUUUUGAACAAGGUUCAACUAAACCCAGUAUUUCGAUAUAGAGAUAUAUAUGUAAAAGAUCAGUGAAGUUUUAACAAAUAUUAGAUUAUGAGUUCAAUAGGUUCUGUGCUUAGAACUUUAAAAAUUGAAACUAUCAGGUUUAAAUCUCGGAUCCGUCAUUUUUUAAGCCAAGACGGAGACCUCUUAUCAACUAAAAAUACUUCAUGGCAUUUUCUAUGGAGAAAUGGACUUCCAUUUUGAAGUUGCUGUUCCAAUAUUUGGGAAGAAUUAAAUCUGGGUUACAUUUCAUGGUAACUCACUCAUUGGGUUGUUCUGUAGAGAAGGAUAUAAUGAAAGAUUUCAUCCAAAAACAGAAAUAGGAUAGUCCUUCCAUUCCCGUUCCUUUUCCUUCAUAUAUAACAAUAUUUCCUUAUUCGUUCGUUCUAUAAAUGAAUGAUACUUUAUGAAUUUGAAAAUACUUAAACGUUAAGCGUCUUAAUUUACUUUUUAUGUUGUGCAUUUGUCACAUACAUCUCUUAGCAUCAAAGGCGGCUCAAUGGAGUCGGUUGCCUAAAGCUAAGUUUUAAUAAGAGGAUUAAGCUUAUUUAAUAAAACAUUUUGUAUUCAUUUUUGUUUAAAGCUUAUUCUUUUAGAUUUUUAAGAUAUAAAGUUGUCAAUAUUUUUAUAAUCGAUUUCUUAGGAUAUUUCUUUUUCAUUAGACAAUGUAACUAAUUCAUUUAACAAAUCAAAAAUAUUAUAUACAUUUCAUGUUUAAUUUUAAUUAGCUAAGCGUAUUUAUAGAGGCUGCGAGGAGCUGCGAGCGGCUGGAGAUUGUUGGCGGUUGGCGAGGCAGAGGGAGGCCUAAGAAGCAN
This 1440-nucleotide long non-coding RNA is filed under the name Nicotiana benthamiana. RNAcentral describes it as "long non-coding RNA (NBEN_LNC021558)". Lineage: Eukaryota; Viridiplantae; Streptophyta; Magnoliopsida; Solanales; Solanaceae. The record is from RNAcentral.